UACGUAGGGUGCGAGCGUUAAUCGGAAUUACUGGGCGUAAAGCGUGCGCAGGCGGUUUUGUAAGCCAGAUGUGAAAGCCCCGGGCUUAACCUGGGAAUGGCAUUUGGGACUGCAAGGCUGGAGUGUGGCAGAGGAGACUGGAAUUCCUGGUGUAGCAGUGAAAUGCGUAGAUAUCAGGAGGAAUACCGAUGGCGAAGGCAGGUCUGUGGGCUGACACUGACGCUCAUGCACGAAAGCGUGGGGAGCAAACAGG
RNAcentral lists this ribosomal RNA (253 nucleotides) under uncultured bacterium. RNAcentral describes it as "partial 16S ribosomal RNA". It matches the Rfam family "Bacterial small subunit ribosomal RNA", at positions 524 to 776 of the family's 1533-position model. The record is from RNAcentral.